CCCGCCCCCGGGCUCCCGUCAGCGCGGCCCCGCCCGGCCCGCCGCGGCCCCCUCCUCACCUGAUGUAUGGGCUGGCCGCCGCCAGGAUGUUCUUCUGCACCGGGAUCUCCUCCCCGUCGAGGACCAGGUGCGCGUCGCAAAAGCGGGACUCCUCGCGGAAAGAGCUAAGCGCUCGCAGCAGACGCGCGGCAUGCUGUGGGUCAGACACAGCGCUGCCUUCGGCCAUCUCGGCGCCGGCUCGUCAGCCCUCUGGUCCAGCUGCCCCAGCCGCCCCGCCAGACCCCUCGAGCUGCCCGCGUCCGGCGCGCGCCCUGUCUGCACAGCGCGCGCGCGCGCCCGUCCAGCCCGACUCUGCGCUCGGAGAAGCGGGAGCCCCCGGAACGCGCCUGCGCCAUCGGCGGCGCAAGGGGCUUGCGCCUUUAAGGAGCCGCGGCGUUGCGUCAUUUCUCCGCGACGCCCCCGCGCCCUCGGGCCCUCCCCCUCGCCAGUGAUCGCUGGAGGCGGCCAAUCAGAAGCCUCGUUCCUCUGCUGGAUCAGCUGGUCGUGGUGCGUCUGUCCGCCGCCAGGAACCGUUGCUGCAGUGGUGGAAGAUGUGCAGGCACCUGGGACCCUGUGGUUCUGCCCGGGGCCUCUGGCGCCGCGAGCCUGAAUCCGAGCCUUGGCUCUUCCACUCAGUAGCUGUGUGGCCAUGGGAUUCUGGUCAAUACACUGCUGGGUGUACAAUGAGGAGGUCUAUCCUGCAGAAUUGGUACCAUGCUGGACACUAGACUCAGUCUCAGGAGGGAGAAAGGAGGAAUCAGAUUCAGCUCUUGCCCUCCAGGAACUUCUAGUCCAAUGCAGGAGAAGAGAUUGGAGUGAUGCAUCUAUAAGCCAAGGAACACCGAGGAUUCCUGGCAGCCACCAAAGGCUGGAAGAGGGAAGCCAGCAUCUUCCCCUGGAGGCUUCAGAGAGAGCAUGGCUCCGAGGACACCCCGAUUUCAGAUUUCCAGCCUCCAGAA
Molecule: long non-coding RNA, 998 nt
Organism: Neomonachus schauinslandi (Hawaiian monk seal)
Lineage: Eukaryota; Metazoa; Chordata; Mammalia; Carnivora; Phocidae
Exons: 4
Source: RefSeq, a predicted model, not a curated record